RNAcentral lists this transfer RNA (85 nucleotides) under Patescibacteria group bacterium. RNAcentral describes it as "tRNA-Ser". It matches the Rfam family "tRNA". Rfam says of the family: Transfer RNA (tRNA) molecules are approximately 80 nucleotides in length. Their secondary structure includes four short double-helical elements and three loops (D, anti-codon, and T loops). The record is from RNAcentral.
GGAGAGGUCGCAUAGUGGCCUAGUGCGUUCGCUUGGAAAGCGAAUAUGCCGCAAGGCAUCGAGGGUUCGACUCCCUCCCUCUCCG